This is a non-coding RNA of Canis lupus familiaris (dog), 89 nucleotides long. The record is from Rfam. Lineage: Eukaryota; Metazoa; Chordata; Mammalia; Carnivora; Canidae.
CGGGGGAGGCCGGAUCCUGGGCUGUGUCCCGGCGCCCUGUGCUCCGGGGCCUGUGCUGUUGGAUUCGCGCUCCCGCCCCGCAGCCCCCU